UGAGGAAUAUUGCACAAUGGGCGAAAGCCUGAUGCAGCGACGCCGCGUGGGUGAAGAAGGUUUUCGGAUCGUAAAACCCUUUUCUGUGUGACGAGAGAGGACGGUAGCACAGGAAUAAGUCUCGGCUAACUACGUGCCAGCAGCCGCGGUAAAACGUAGGAGACAAACGUUAUCCGGAGUUACUGGGCGUAAAGGGCGUGCAGGCGGCAGCCUAAGUCUGGCGUGAAAUAUCCCGGCUUAACCGGGAGAGGUCGUCGGAUACUGGGCAGCUAGAGGGCGGUAGAGGCGUGUGGAAUUCCGGGUGUAGUGGUGAAAUGCGUAGAGAUCCGGAGGAACACCAGUGGCGAAGGCGACACGCUGGGCCGCACCUGACGCUAAGACGCGACAGCAUGGGGAGCGAACGGG
Molecule: ribosomal RNA, 405 nt
Filed under: uncultured bacterium
Lineage: Bacteria
Description: bacterial SSU rRNA
Rfam family: Bacterial small subunit ribosomal RNA
Source: RNAcentral